Molecule: ribosomal RNA, 508 nt
Filed under: uncultured bacterium
Lineage: Bacteria
Description: partial 16S ribosomal RNA
Rfam family: Bacterial small subunit ribosomal RNA
Source: RNAcentral
GACGAACGCUGGCGGCGUGCCUAAUACAUGCAAGUCGAACGCUUCUUUCCUCCCGAGUGCUUGCCCUCAAUUGGAAAGAGGAGUGGCGGACGGGUGAGUAACACGUGGGUAACCUACCCAUCAGAGGGGGAUAACACUUGGAAACAGGUGCUAAUACCGCAUAACAGUUUAUGCCGCAUGGCAUAAGAGUGAAAGGCGCUUUCGGGUGUCGCUGAUGGAUGGACCCGCGGUGCAUUAGCUAGUUGGUGAGGUAACGGCUCACCAAGGCCACGAUGCAUAGCCGACCCGAGAGGGUGAUCGGCCACACUGGGACUGAGACACGGCCCAGACUCCUACGGGAGGCAGCAGUAGGGAAUCUUCGGCAAUGGACGAAAGUCUGACCGAGCAACGCCGCGUGAGUGAAGAAGGUUUUCGGAUCGUAAAACUCUGUUGUUAGAGAAGAACAAGGACGUUAGUAACUGAACGUCCCCUGACGGUAUCUAACCAGAAAGCCACGGCUAACUACGUG